RNAcentral lists this long non-coding RNA (1523 nucleotides) under Equus asinus (donkey). RNAcentral describes it as "lncRNA (ENSEASG00005036100.1)". The record is from RNAcentral. Lineage: Eukaryota; Metazoa; Chordata; Mammalia; Perissodactyla; Equidae.
UCGCGGGGCAGCCCGCCUGGCCCGCCGGCGCAGGUGAGCCCUUUUCAUAAAGGACGCGGGAAACUGGGGCCUGUUUACCAGCUCUAUAAAUGCACGUGGAAGAGAAGAACUGGCCUUCGAGGUACAGCUGCUAGCUGAUCUCUUGUGAAAAGGAGCCUUUUGGAAAGGGCGCUUAAAGGGAAAACGUGGCCACAGGUCCUGAAGGGGCUGCUUCUCAUGGACCCCCUUUGAGUAGUGUCUCUUGAAUAGCCGUGGAAAAUGAACUUAAUAUAAAGCAGACACAGCCCUCAAGCGCUCCCUGACUCGGGACAGCAUCCCUUCUGCCUCUUGAAGCUCGUUGACUUUGGAAAUCACCCGCGGCUCUGUGGCCACCUCCCCUGUUGGCUGAAGCUUGCCUCGCCGCACGUCCCUCUUUGCGCAGGUCUGCACGCUCCGCAGAGGUAACUGAGGACUUUCCGAGUCCAGCUGACUGGAAAGAGGCGAUGGCCUAACAAAACGGCCUGGGGAAUUUCCAGCACGAUGGGAAUUUGCCAAAUAGCUCUUCUGUAGGGCUGACGAGGCCUACUAAUGUUUGCUCCUCAAAGUCAGCCAUAAUUACGAAGUAGCUGGGACAUCUGGUAUAACUGUGAAGAAGAAUGGUGACAGUGGACAUCUUUGCAUUGUUCCUGAUCUCAGGGGGAAAGCCACCCAUUUCUUACCAUUAAAUAUGAUGUUAGCUGUAGGUUUUGUGGAGGUGUUCUUUAUCAAGUUUAUGAAGUUCCCCUCUAUUCCUAGUUUGCUGAGAGUUUUUUUUUUUUUUUUUUUACCAUGAAUAGUGUUGGAUUUUUGUCAAAUGCUUUUUCUGAAUCAAUUAAUAUGAUCAUAUGGUUUUAAUCCUUUAGCCAAUUGAUUUUGUGGGUUACAUUGAUUUUUCUGAAUGUUUAACGAGACUUGCAUACCUGGAAUAAAUUCUACUUGGUCAUGGUGUGUAAUUCUUUUUAUAUAUUGUUGGAUUCUUUUAUAUUUUAUUGAGGAUUCAGAUUGAUCUAUUUAAGCCACAGCCAUGAAUAAGUUACUCCCUUGUUCAAAAGUGUCAAUGACUCCCAAGUAUAAUCAACUAAAAUCUAGAUUCCUUAGUCAUUCAAAGCCCUCUAUAAUCUGGCCUUAUGUUCCCUCUCUGUGCUUUUCUCCCACUACUUUCUGUGAUAUACCCUCUAUUUCCUUAAACAUUUUCUAUACUUUUUCACCAUCCUACGUUUGAAUAUCCUGUUCCCUUCUUUCGGGUCUAGGCAUGACAUUCAACUCUAUUCUACUCCAAUUUUCUGAAAUUCUACUUUUCUUCAAUACCCAGCUCAAGUUAAAACCCUUUCAAAUGGGGGGCCAGCCCCGUGGCUGAGUGGUUAAGUUCACGAGCUCCACUGCAGGCAGCCCAGGGUUUCAUCGGUUCGAAUCCUGGGCGUGGACAUGGCACCACUCAUCGAGCCAUGCUGAGGUGGCAUCCCACAUGCCACAACUAGAAGGACCCACAACUAAGAAUACACAAC